GGAAAUUAUGAUGCCUGUCUACAACACC
This 28-nucleotide non-coding RNA is filed under the name Homo sapiens (human). The record is from RNAcentral. Lineage: Eukaryota; Metazoa; Chordata; Mammalia; Primates; Hominidae.